GUAAAGCGAUCUGGCAGUGAUAUCCUUCACUCCUUCGAUUACUGGGGUGGUUCUGCUGACCUGGCUCCUUAGGCUGGGGUCUCCUUCCUCUCUCGCUGUCACAUAUGUGUCUCUAUUGACGCUAUGCAUUCUAUGGAAGGUGGAAGAGGAUGAGAUCACACAAAGAUGACAUUCCCACAUAAGAGGAGGAGGAGUGGUCCUAAGUGAAGGGCAUAUGAGUAACUGCACUCCUGUGUUAGAACCUCCAAAGAAGUUCUCAAAUUCCAAAUGUGGUUAUAGAAUUCUUCUCUUAUUGAAGCAGAUUUGUUUUCUUGAUUACC
Mesocricetus auratus (golden hamster) is the source of this 320-nucleotide unclassified non-coding RNA. Its record names the gene 7SK. It matches the Rfam family "7SK RNA". Rfam says of the family: 7SK was discovered as an abundant small nuclear RNA in the mid-70s but a possible function has only recently been suggested. Two independent studies have found that 7SK RNA binds the CDK9/cyclin T complex (known as elongation factor P-TEFb). Lineage: Eukaryota; Metazoa; Chordata; Mammalia; Rodentia; Cricetidae. The record is from Ensembl.